CAGGUGUCGCCACCGAAGAAGGGAGCUGCAUCUCUGUGUUUCUGGCCGCCGGGAGUGGUUAUGUGGCUUCUGGGAUCACUGCCGGAGCUCCGGGCUGAGCUUCUGCCACUUGAGACCCUGCUGCCGUCGCCGAAAAAGUUUGCCGUUGUCGUGAUCGGAAUUUGUUGCCGCUGCCGCUUGGGGUGGCUGCCGGGCUGCCGCCGAACCAGCCCAGAGACCGUCGCUGUUUCGGUUCAGCCGUUUUUUCUUAGUUUCGGUAAGUAAUUAUGUUUC
Molecule: non-coding RNA, 273 nt
Organism: Arachis ipaensis
Lineage: Eukaryota; Viridiplantae; Streptophyta; Magnoliopsida; Fabales; Fabaceae
Source: RefSeq, a predicted model, not a curated record